CAGUAGCCGCGGUAAUACAGAGGGUGCGAGCGUUAAUCGGAUUUACUGGGCGUAAAGCGUGCUUAGGCGGCUUCUUAAGUCGGAUGUGAAAUCCCUUAGCUUAACUUAGGAAUUGCAUUCGAUACUGGGAAGCUAGAGUAUGGGAGAGGAUGGUAGAAUUCCAGGUGUAGCGGUGAAAUGCGUAGAGAUCUGGAGGAAUACCGAUGGCGAAGGCAGCCAUCUGGCCUAAUACUGACGCUGAGGUACGAAAGCAUGGGGAGCAAACAGGAUUAGAGACCCCCGUAGUCCCUGUCUCUUAUAC
RNAcentral lists this ribosomal RNA (301 nucleotides) under uncultured bacterium. Its description in RNAcentral is "partial 16S ribosomal RNA". It matches the Rfam family "Bacterial small subunit ribosomal RNA", at positions 509 to 807 of the family's 1533-position model. The record is from RNAcentral.